AUUCCAUGAUGAGGGUAAUUUCGUAAUAGCUCUUUAAACCUUUUUCACGCCUCAUACAAGGACUCUUCAUCCAUCUGUUGGAAGGUAGUGAUCUCGUUCCUCAACAU
Gossypium raimondii (Peruvian cotton) is the source of this 107-nucleotide non-coding RNA. The record is from Rfam. Lineage: Eukaryota; Viridiplantae; Streptophyta; Magnoliopsida; Malvales; Malvaceae.